AGAUUCACACACUGGAAUUGAAGCUUGGUGAGUGUGCUGUCACAGCCACUAAGGGGACAGCACUCUUUAGGCCUCACACUUUUGUCCCAAUGCACCAGCUGACUGAGCCUUCCUGCCAUAUUCUCACCUACCUUUCAGAGGAGAGCCAUAACCGAUUUUCAGCCACUGAAGUGACAAAUAAGACACUGGCAGCAGAGAUGCAGGAGCUGCGGGCUCGGCUGGCCGAGGCGGAGGAGACAGCCCGGACAGUGGAACGACAGAAGAAC
RNAcentral lists this long non-coding RNA (266 nucleotides) under Rattus norvegicus (Norway rat). RNAcentral's name for it is "long non-coding RNA NONRATT011043". Lineage: Eukaryota; Metazoa; Chordata; Mammalia; Rodentia; Muridae. The record is from RNAcentral.